AGAGUUUGAUCCUGGCUCAGGAUGAACGCUGGCGGCGUGCUUAACACAUGCAAGUCGAACGAACCUUCGGGUUAGUGGCGGACGGGUGAGUAACGCGUGAGAAUCUGCCCUCAGGAGGGGGAUAACGGUUGGAAACGACCGCUAAUACCCCAUAUGCCUACUGGUGAAACGAAUUUCGCCUGAGGAUGAGCUCGCGUCUGAUUAGCUAGUUGGUGAGGUAAUGGCUCACCAAGGCUUCGAUCAGUAGCUGGUCUGAGAGGAUGAUCAGCCACACUGGGACUGAGACACGGCCCAGACUCCUACGGGAGGCAGCAGUGGGGAAUUUUCCGCAAUGGGCGAAAGCCUGACGGAGCAACGCCGCGUGAGGGACGAAGGCCUCUGGGCUGUAAACCUCUUUUCUCAAGGAAGAAGAUAUGACGGUACUUGAGGAAUAAGCCACGGCUAAUUCCGUGCCAGCAGCCGCGGUAAUACGGGAGUGGCAAGCGUUAUCCGGAAUUAUUGGGCGUAAAGCGUCCGCAGGCGGCUUUUCAAGUCUGCUGUUAAAGCGUGGAGCUUAACUCCAUCAUGGCAGUGGAAACUGAAAGGCUUGAGUAUGGUAGGGGCAGAGGGAAUUCCCGGUGUAGCGGUGAAAUGCGUAGAUAUCGGGAAGAACACCAGUGGCGAAGGCGCUCUGCUGGGCCAUUACUGACGCUCAUGGACGAAAGCCAGGGGAGCGAAAGGGAUUAGAUACCCCUGUAGUCCUGGCCGUAAACGAUGAACACUAGGUGUCGGGGGAAUCGACCCCUUCGGUGUCGUAGCUAACGCGUUAAGUGUUCCGCCUGGGGAGUACGCACGCAAGUGUGAAACUCAAAGGAAUUGACGGGGGCCCGCACAAGCGGUGGAGUAUGUGGUUUAAUUCGAUGCAACGCGAAGAACCUUACCAGGGUUUGACAUCCUGCGAACCUCUUAGAAAUUUGAGGGUGCCUUCGGGAAUGCAGUGACAGGUGGUGCAUGGCUGUCGUCAGCUCGUGUCGUGAGAUGUUGGGUUAAGUCCCGCAACGAGCGCAACCCACGUUUUUAGUUGCCAGCAUUUAGUUGGGCACUCUAGAAAGACCGCCGGUGAUAAACCGGAGGAAGGUGUGGAUGACGUCAAGUCAUCAUGCCCCUUACACCCUGGGCUACACACGUACUACAAUGCUACGGACAAAGGGCAGCAAACUCGCGAGAGCUAGCAAAUCCCAUAAACCGUGGCUCAGUUCAGAUCGUAGGCUGCAACUCGCCUACGUGAAGUAGGAAUCGCUAGUAAUCGCAGGUCAGCAUACUGCGGUGAAUACGUUCCCGGGCCUUGUACACACCGCCCGUCACACCAUGGAAGUUGGCCAUGCCCGAAGUCGUUACUCCAACCCUUGUGGAGGAGGACGCCGAAGGUGGGGCUAAUGACUGGGGUGAAGUCGUAACAAGGUAGCCGUACCGGAAGGUGCGGCUG
This 1465-nucleotide ribosomal RNA is filed under the name Prochlorococcus marinus. RNAcentral describes it as "bacterial SSU rRNA". It matches the Rfam family "Bacterial small subunit ribosomal RNA". RNAcentral also lists the same sequence under 5 other names. Lineage: Bacteria; Bacillati; Cyanobacteriota; Cyanophyceae; Synechococcales; Prochlorococcaceae. The record is from RNAcentral.